Molecule: ribosomal RNA, 119 nt
Filed under: Helianthus annuus (common sunflower)
Lineage: Eukaryota; Viridiplantae; Streptophyta; Magnoliopsida; Asterales; Asteraceae
Source: RNAcentral
GGUUGCGAUCAUACCAGCACUAAUGCACCGGAUCCCAUCAGAACUUCGCAGUUAAGCGUGCUUGGGCGAGAGUAGUACUAGGAUGGGUGACCCCCUGGGAAGUCCUCGUGUUGCAACAC